RNAcentral lists this ribosomal RNA (253 nucleotides) under uncultured bacterium. Its description in RNAcentral is "partial 16S ribosomal RNA". It matches the Rfam family "Bacterial small subunit ribosomal RNA", at positions 524 to 776 of the family's 1533-position model. The record is from RNAcentral.
UACGAAGGGGGCUAGCGUUGUUCGGAAUUACUGGGCGUAAAGGGCGCGUAGGCUGUGCUGUAAGUCAGGCGUGAAAGGCCCGGGCUCAACCUGGGAACUGCGCAUGAUACUGCGGCGCUUGAAGACGGGAGAGGAUGGCGGAAUUCCCAGUGUAGAGGUGAAAUUCGUAGAUAUUGGGAAGAACACCGGUGGCGAAGGCGGCCCUCUGGAUCGUUGCUGACGCUGAGCCGCGAAAGCGUGGGGAGCAAACAGG